GACGAACGCUGGCGGCGUGCUUAACACAUGCAAGUCGAACGGAAAGGCCCUGCUUUUGUGGGGUGCUCGAGUGGCGAACGGGUGAGUAACACGUGAGUAACCUGCCCUUGACUUUGGGAUAACUUCAGGAAACUGGGGCUAAUACCGGAUAGGAGCUCCUGCUGCAUUGUGGGGGUUGGAAAGUUUCGGCGGUUGGGGAUGGACUCGCGGCUUAUCAGCUUGUUGGUGGGGUAGUGGCAUACCAAGGCUUUGACGGGUAGCCGGCCUGAGAGGGUGACCGGCGACAUUGGGACUGAGAUACGGCCCAGACUCCUACGGGAGGCAGCAGUGGGGAAUAUUGCACAAUGGGCGGAAGCCUGAUGCAGCAACGCCGCGUGCGGGAUGACGGCCUUCGGGUUGUAAACCGCUUUCGCCUGUGACGAAGCGUGAGUGACGGUAAUGGGUAAAGAAGCACCGGCUAACUACGUG
Molecule: ribosomal RNA, 468 nt
Filed under: uncultured bacterium
Lineage: Bacteria
Description: partial 16S ribosomal RNA
Rfam family: Bacterial small subunit ribosomal RNA
Source: RNAcentral